GAUGAACGCUGGCGGCGUGCCUAAUACAUGCAAGUCGAGCGAACGGACGAGAAGCUUGCUUCUCUGAUGUUAGCGGCGGACGGGUGAGUAACACGUGGAUAACCUACCUAUAAGACUGGGAUAACUUCGGGAAACCGGAGCUAAUACCGGAUAAUAUUUUGAACCGCAUGGUUCAAAAGUGAAAGACGGUCUUGCUGUCACUUAUAGAUGGAUCCGCGCUGCAUUAGCUAGUUGGUAAGGUAACGGCUUACCAAGGCAACGAUGCAUAGCCGACCUGAGAGGGUGAUCGGCCACACUGGAACUGAGACACGGUCCAGACUCCUACGGGAGGCAGCAGUAGGGAAUCUUCCGCAAUGGGCGAAAGCCUGACGGAGCAACGCCGCGUGAGUGAUGAAGGUCUUCGGAUCGUAAAACUCUGUUAUUAGGGAAGAACAUAUGUGUAAGUAACUGUGCACAUCUUGACGGUACCUAAUCAGAAAGCCACGGCUAACUACGUGCCAGCAGCCGCGGUAAUACGUAGGUGGCAAGCGUUAUCCGGAAUUAUUGGGCGUAAAGCGCGCGUAGGCGGUUUUUUAAGUCUGAUGUGAAAGCCCACGGCUCAACCGUGGAGGGUCAUUGGAAACUGGAAAACUUGAGUGCAGAAGAGGAAAGUGGAAUUCCAUGUGUAGCGGUGAAAUGCGCAGAGAUAUGGAGGAACACCAGUGGCGAAGGCGACUUUCUGGUCUGUAACUGACGCUGAUGUGCGAAAGCGUGGGGAUCAAACAGGAUUAGAUACCCUGGUAGUCCACGCCGUAAACGAUGAGUGCUAAGUGUUAGGGGGUUUCCGCCCCUUAGUGCUGCAGCUAACGCAUUAAGCACUCCGCCUGGGGAGUACGACCGCAAGGUUGAAACUCAAAGGAAUUGACGGGGACCCGCACAAGCGGUGGAGCAUGUGGUUUAAUUCGAAGCAACGCGAAGAACCUUACCAAAUCUUGACAUCCUUUGACAACUCUAGAGAUAGAGCCUUCCCCUUCGGGGGACAAAGUGACAGGUGGUGCAUGGUUGUCGUCAGCUCGUGUCGUGAGAUGUUGGGUUAGGUCCCGCAACGAGCGCAACCCUUAAGCUUAGUUGCCAUCAUUAAGUUGGGCACUCUAAGUUGACUGCCGGUGACAAACCGGAGGAAGGUGGGGAUGACGUCAAAUCAUCAUGCCCCUUAUGAUUUGGGCUACACACGUGCUACAAUGGACAAUACAAAGGGCAGCGAAACCGCGAGGCCAAGCAAAUCCCAUAAAGUUGUUCUCAGUUCGGAUUGUAGUCUGCAACUCGACUACAUGAAGCUGGAAUCGCUAGUAAUCGUAGAUCAGCAUGCUACGGUGAAUACGUUCCCGGGUCU
This 1372-nucleotide ribosomal RNA is filed under the name uncultured bacterium. RNAcentral's name for it is "bacterial SSU rRNA". It matches the Rfam family "Bacterial small subunit ribosomal RNA", at positions 28 to 1381 of the family's 1533-position model. The record is from RNAcentral.